UGCGUAGGUGGCCGAUCAAGUUGAUUGUGAAAUUCCGGGGCUCAACUCCGGAGCUACAGUCAAAACUGACCGGCUUGAGUGCAGGAGAGGUAAGCGGAAUUCCUAGUGUAGCGGUGGAAUGCGUAGAUAUUAAGAGGAACACCGGAGGCGAAAGCGGCUUACUGGACUGUAACUGACACUGAGGCACGAAAGCGUGGGGAGCAAACA
This 207-nucleotide ribosomal RNA is filed under the name uncultured bacterium. RNAcentral describes it as "partial 16S ribosomal RNA". It matches the Rfam family "Bacterial small subunit ribosomal RNA", at positions 568 to 774 of the family's 1533-position model. The record is from RNAcentral.